This 53-nucleotide ribosomal RNA is filed under the name Hygroamblystegium humile. Its description in RNAcentral is "partial 26S ribosomal RNA". Lineage: Eukaryota; Viridiplantae; Streptophyta; Bryopsida; Hypnales; Amblystegiaceae. The record is from RNAcentral.
CAUCAGACCUCUAAUCGGAAAAGACUACCCGCUGAGUUWAAGCAUAUCAAUAG